UUUUUUUCUUCACAGGUAAAAUUUCUAGGUAGCGUCACAGUGCAAGCAUUCCCUCCGGGUGUAAUACCCAAGACGGGCAUUUGCAAACCUGAAGAAAUAAAGGCUGGGACGUGCACGCCUUGUAAUGUAAAGUCUGGCUGUAAUUAAGGAGUCUGGAAGUUGGCAUCUAUCAUCUGAAAAUGUUACAGUUUUGCACGAUGUUCGUCACAGGACACAUUUUAAGGUUCAUCAAUUACAACUCAGCCGGCAAAUCUACCUUGACUUCUUUGAAAUGGUGAAAAUACGAGGACCAUGGGCGGAACCAGUUGUAAUUUUUUGUUAAAAUAAGAUAAAUUUGAACAACAUUUA
Non-coding RNA from Bemisia tabaci, 348 nucleotides. The record is from RefSeq and is a predicted model, not a curated record. NCBI's taxonomy places the organism in Eukaryota, Metazoa, Arthropoda, Insecta, Hemiptera, Aleyrodidae.